UUUCCUACGGGGCGCAGCAGUGAGGAAUAUUGGUCAAUGGGCGCGAGCCUGAACCAGCCAAGUCGCGUGAGGGAUGACGGUCCUACGGAUUGUAAACCUCUUUUGCCGGGGAGCAAGCGUGCGUUCGUGAACGCGCGUCGAGAGUACCCGGAGAAAAAGCAUCGGCUAACUCCGUGCCAGCAGCCGCGGUAAUACGGAGGAUGCGAGCGUUAUCCGGAUUUAUUGGGUUUAAAGGGUGCGUAGGCGGGCAUUUAAGCCGGCGGUCAAAUGUCGGGGCUCAACCCCGGCCUGCCGUCGGAACUGGG
RNAcentral lists this ribosomal RNA (305 nucleotides) under uncultured bacterium. RNAcentral describes it as "bacterial SSU rRNA". It matches the Rfam family "Bacterial small subunit ribosomal RNA", at positions 335 to 637 of the family's 1533-position model. The record is from RNAcentral.